Molecule: ribosomal RNA, 497 nt
Filed under: uncultured bacterium
Lineage: Bacteria
Description: partial 16S ribosomal RNA
Rfam family: Bacterial small subunit ribosomal RNA
Source: RNAcentral
GAUGAACGCUGGCGGCGCGCCUAAUACAUGCAAGUCGAGCGAACAGAUGAGGAGCUUGCUCCUCUGACGUUAGCGGCGGACGGGUGAGUAACACGUGGAUAACCUACCUAUAAGACUGGGAUAACUUCGGGAAACCGGAGCUAAUACCGGAUAAUAUAUUGAACCGCAUGGUUCAAUAGUGAAAGACGGUUUUGCUGUCACUUAUAGAUGGAUCCGCGCCGCAUUAGCUAGUUGGUAAGGUAACGGCUUACCAAGGCAACGAUGCGUAGCCGACCUGAGAGGGUGAUCGGCCAAACUUGAACUGAGACACGGUCCAGACUCCUACGGGAGGCAGCAGUAGGGAAUCUUCCGCAAUGGGCGAAAGCCUGACGGAGCAACGCCGCGUGAGUGAUGAAGGUCUUCGGAUCGUAAAACUCUGUUAUUAGGGAAGAACAAAUGCGUAAGUAACUAUGCACGUCUUGACGGUACCUAAUCAGAAAGCCACGGCUAACUACGUG